RNAcentral lists this unclassified non-coding RNA (714 nucleotides) under uncultured cyanobacterium. Its description in RNAcentral is "partial contains 16S ribosomal RNA, 16S-23S ribosomal RNA intergenic spacer, and 23S ribosomal RNA". The stretch from base 1 to 111 matches the Rfam family "Bacterial small subunit ribosomal RNA", at positions 1423 to 1533 of the family's 1533-position model. The record is from RNAcentral. Lineage: Bacteria; Bacillati; Cyanobacteriota.
GAAGUCGUUACUCCAACCCUCGGGAGGAGGACGUCGAAGGUGGGGCUGAUGACUGGGGUGAAGUCGUAACAAGGUAGCCGUACCGGAAGGUGCGGCUGGAUCACCUCCUAACAGGGAGACAACAAAAUGUAAAUAUUAAUUUUGUCACCUUAGGUCGAUCGGUAUCUCAGAUUCUUAUUUUUUUAAGAAUUUCAGUUUCUAAGUUUUUUCUAGGUCACACCCAUCACUUUUCCUGGGCCAUUAGCUCAGGUGGUUAGAGCGCACCCCUGAUAAGGGUGAGGUCCCUGGUUCAAGUCCAGGAUGGCCCAUAUCUCUAUGUUGGGGGUAUAGCUCAGUUGGUAGAGCGCCUGCUUUGCAAGCAGGAUGUCAGCGGUUCGAGUCCGCUUACCUCCACUGAAUACCACCUCUUACAUAUAGUUGAAGUGGGAAAUUGUUUUGAGUCGUGUCCUAAUUUGCUCUGAGCGAAUCUAGCUUCCUAUUUUAUCCAAGAAAUAAGAUGCUGGACUCAUUGAAUUUUUUUUCAUUGUUUUCAGAGAACCUUGACAACUGCAUAGAUUAUUUUUAAAGACAAUAAGCAUCUUUAAUGAUGCAGAUUUAUUAUUUGUGCGAAUGCAUUAAAUAACAAUUCUAUUAAGCUGAUGCUUCAAUUAUUGAAGUUAUUGGUCAAGCUACAAAGGGCUCACGGAGGAUACCUAGGCACACAGAGGCGAUGAA